AAGAGUAAAGGGCAAACUCUCCGAAAGGUUAGGACGCAAAGCUGAGGGUCUAAGGUUAAAUAACUAUGAUCGCCUGGCUGCCAAA
RNAcentral lists this non-coding RNA (85 nucleotides) under Bacillus oleivorans. RNAcentral describes it as "c-di-GMP-I riboswitch aptamer". It matches the Rfam family "c-di-GMP-I riboswitch aptamer". Rfam says of the family: GEMM was predicted in a large-scale screen for bacterial structured RNA regulatory elements. Genes associated with GEMM are involved in a diverse array of functions, including chemotaxis regulation, signal transduction, secretion and chitin. Lineage: Bacteria; Bacillati; Bacillota; Bacilli; Caryophanales; Bacillaceae. The record is from Rfam by way of RNAcentral.